UUUUACUUCACUCUGCUUUGGCUGUUGUGUAUUUAUUUGAGUUCACCUGCUUUCCAUUUUGUCUUUUGAAACCUGUUGAGGGAGGUGCAUGCAAAUUGUUCCUUCCUUAAAAUAAUGCCGUAUGCAGCUCUCAUGUCAUUGAUGACGGAGCAACUGGGCUUCUAAUAUAUCUUGAAAACAUUCAGAGCAGAAAGCAGUGGAUGAAGUGUUAAUAACAUAAUGGAAAAUAUGAUUUCCUGGAGUCUGUUCUUCAUAGUUACUAUUAAUGGAGUUUGGAGUGAAAUCAAACUGGAACAGUCUCCCUCCGAGGUGAAGAAACCUGGAGAGAAAGUGAAGAUGUCGUGUAUCACGUCAGGUUAUAGUAUGACAAGCUACAACAUUCACUGGAUACGACAGAGGCCAGGAAAUGCUCUGGAGUGGAUUGGGUGGAUGAACACAGGCAGCAACUCUGCUACCUUCAGCAGCUCCUUCCAAAGCCGUUUCAUCAUGACUGAAGAUGUGCCCAAGAGCACUCAGUACCUCGAGGUCACGAGCCUGACAGCAGAAGACUCAGCUGUUUACUUCUGUGCUCGACACACAGUGACUGAAGACAGCAGAGCAGCUGAACAAAAACAUCCACAGACAACAAACAGCAACUUGGGGACAUUUGGCUUUUCUCACAAACUGCAAAAGUACUUUAAUCUAUUUAAUAUCUUCACGAUGUCAAUAAUUGCUUUUUAAAACACAUGAAGAAUAAACAAAUGAAUUCAAAACAGGAUAAGAAUUUAUUCAUAACAUAAAUGCAAUAAAUACACCAUAUUGUUU
Gasterosteus aculeatus aculeatus (three-spined stickleback) is the source of this 804-nucleotide non-coding RNA. The record is from the annotation of a RefSeq genome assembly. Lineage: Eukaryota; Metazoa; Chordata; Actinopteri; Perciformes; Gasterosteidae.